GAUGAACGCUGGCGGCGUGCCUAAUACAUGCAAGUCGAGCGAACAGACGAGGAGCUUGCUCCUUUGACGUUAGCGGCGGACGGGUGAGUAACACGUGGAUAACCUACCUAUAAGACUGGGAUAACUUCGGGAAACCGGAGCUAAUACCGGAUAAUAUAUCGAACCGCAUGGUUCAAUAGUGAAAGAUGGCUUUGCUGUCACUUAUAGAUGGACCCGCGCCGUAUUAGCUAGUUGGUAAGGUAACGGCUUACCAAGGCAACGAUACGUAGCCGACCUGAGAGGGUGAUCGGCCACACUGGAACUGAGACACGGUCCAGACUCCUACGGGAGGCAGCAGUAGGGAAUCUUCCGCAAUGGGCGAAAGCCUGACGGAGCAACGCCGCGUGAGUGAUGAAGGUCUUCGGAUCGUAAAACUCUGUUAUUAGGGAAGAACAAAUGUGUAAGUAACUGUGCACGUCUUGACGGUACCUAAUCAGAAAGCCACGGCUAACUACGUG
RNAcentral lists this ribosomal RNA (497 nucleotides) under uncultured bacterium. RNAcentral describes it as "partial 16S ribosomal RNA". It matches the Rfam family "Bacterial small subunit ribosomal RNA", at positions 28 to 507 of the family's 1533-position model. The record is from RNAcentral.